GAAUUGCUAGUGAAAAGAGAAAACAUCUCAUUGAAGUGUGUGUUAGUGAAGAACAGCUCAACUGAGCAUGAACUGGGUGAACUUGCACAACAAAAAUUGGGAGCACUGACAGUCUGAUUCCAUCCUCUUAAAAGCCUAGAUAAAGGUAUACGAAUUAUGGAACAAUAAUUUAAAAUUUAAAAUUAUCCUUUUUGUUUUCAGAAGCAUUAUGCCCAGUUAACUAGCCUAACAGUUAAACCACCUGUCACCAUCUACCUGUGCUGCAUCCUCUCUGCUCCAGCCCUUCUUCAAACCCAGAAGCUUCUGCUGGGAAAGAACCUGUUUCGUGUUGCUUAAAAUUGUGCUCAUGCUGGAGAAUGUAAAACAUACUUACAACCUGCAGAGCCUCUUGAAGAAGGUUCUGGUAACAGUUUCAGUUGCAACUUGAGGUUUAUGAAGGAAAAGGCACGGCAAUGACUCCUUUUCUGUGUCCCACCAAGUCAAAGUUCACAACCGACUGGCAAAACAAUCUGUGUGUUGGUUUGCACUCUGAAGGUAUUAAUAACUUGGGAGAUUCCUGUCAAGUCUCCAGAUCCAGAAGUCUCUAGCUUCUUAGAAACACUAACUGGAAGAAAAUCCAAGAGAUCCACAAAAAAGAAGAGUAAAACAGUUGUAGUUUAUUCACUUCGUCUCAGAUGCCUGAACAGGACUCUUGAGCGGUUUCUGCUAAGAAGGUUCACCAGGACUGCCUGGCUCAUGUCAUGGCUGAAAUCCCACCUGAGGUACACUCUUCUGUCUUUUUGGUUGUCAAAAUAUUUAAUUACUUCUGUAUUAAUUCAUAAAUAGCCAUUGCCCCCAAGAGUCCUUCAUUGUCCCAGCUAACUCAGCCUUUCCUCCAGGACCCUGCAGAUGGCUGACCAAUCAAGCAAAUGAAGAGGUAAUACUCAGCAGUUUCAUGGCUAACAUUGAUUCUGAAAGAGUGUCCCACGCCAUUCAGGUUUUUGAAUAUUUUGAAUAUCAUCCUUUCUUCCUGUCCUUACUGAGUCCCUUUGACCUUAGAUGUUCACUCAUAUUGUCCCUUUGAUUAUGGUUGCUAUGUUAACUCACUUCUUCUCUACCUUGUGUAUCUAUAUCAUACACACCAGUUUCACAAUAUGUAAUUUUUGCCAUUGAUAAACUGCAUGUUAAUUUAUGGUCUUAAAGGAUGAUAAAUUAUACAUGGUUACCCAACUUUUAGAGGUUUUGCCCAUUCUCAAUUUACACAGCUGUUCAGAAAAAUAUUAGUUUUCUAGCUACCUCGGGUCUUGAGUGUACCUGGAGACAAUUUAUACUGGGGGCAUGGUAACACAAACACAUCUGCUUUUUAAAGGCAAAAAUUGGACCAAUAUUACACUGUAUGUUACUAAGUAGACUUUAAGUAAAAAUUUGAAGAAAAAAAUAAAAAAAUAAAGGCAAAAUUUGGGAAACA
Molecule: long non-coding RNA, 1447 nt
Filed under: Felis catus (domestic cat)
Lineage: Eukaryota; Metazoa; Chordata; Mammalia; Carnivora; Felidae
Description: lncRNA (ENSFCAG00000044335.2)
Source: RNAcentral